UGCAUAUCAAAAAAGCGGAGGAAAAGAAACCAACAGGGAUUGCCCUAGUAACGGCGAGUGAAGCGGCAACAGCUCAAAUUUGAAAGCUAGCCUUCGGGUUCGCAUUGUAAUUUGUAGAGGAUGAUUUGGGGAAGCCGCCUGUCUAAGUUCCUUGGAACAGGACGUCAUAGAGGGUGAGAAUCCCGUAUGUGACAGGAAAUGGCACCCUAUGUAAAUCUCCUUCGACGAGUCGAGUUGUUUGGGAAUGCAGCUCUAAAUGGGAGGUAAAUUUCUUCUAAAGCUAAAUAUUGGCGAGAGACCGAUAGCGCACAAGUAGAGUGAUCGAAAGAUGAAAAGCACUUUGGAAAGAGAGUUAAAAAGCACGUGAAAUUGUUGAAAGGGAAGCGCUUGCAAUCAGACUUGUUUAAACUGUUCGGCCGGUCUUCUGACCGGUUUACUCAGUUUGGACAGGCCAGCAUCAGUUUCGGCGGCCGGAUAAAGGCUCUGGGAAUGUGGCCUCCACUUCGGUGGAGGUGUUAUAGCCCAGGGUGUAAUACGGCCAGCCGGGACUGAGGUCCGCGCUCGGCUAGGAUGCUGCGUACAGACUACAGCAA
Molecule: ribosomal RNA, 593 nt
Filed under: Aureobasidium pullulans
Lineage: Eukaryota; Fungi; Ascomycota; Dothideomycetes; Dothideales; Saccotheciaceae
Description: partial large subunit ribosomal RNA
Rfam family: Eukaryotic large subunit ribosomal RNA
Source: RNAcentral